This 292-nucleotide ribosomal RNA is filed under the name uncultured marine eukaryote. RNAcentral's name for it is "partial 18S ribosomal RNA". It matches the Rfam family "Eukaryotic small subunit ribosomal RNA", at positions 619 to 904 of the family's 1831-position model. The record is from RNAcentral.
CUUAAAAAGCUCGUAGUUGGAUUUCUGCAGAAGUUGGACGGCCUGAGCUUCACAGAAGUUUCAUGGAACAGUCACGAUUUUUGCAUCCUGUCACAAACUGCUCUGGUCUUAAUUGAUUGGGGUCCAGGGACUGACACAUUUACUUUGAGAAAAAUAGAGUGUUCAAAGCAGGCAUAUGCCUUGAAUAAAUUAGCAUGGAAUAAUGAGAUAGGACUUUGGUUCUAUUUUGUUGGUUGUUCGAGGACCGAAGUAAUGAUUGAGAGGGAUGGUUGGGGGCAUUAGUAUUCUGAAG